AUAUGACUCACCUGAGAUGUUGUUAAAAUGCAGAUUCUAAUUGCAUAGGUCUGGGUGGUGUCUGAGAUGCUGCAUUUCCAACAAAUUCCCAAGUGCUGCUGAU
Molecule: microRNA precursor, 103 nt
Filed under: Marmota monax (woodchuck)
Lineage: Eukaryota; Metazoa; Chordata; Mammalia; Rodentia; Sciuridae
Source: RNAcentral